GGGCCAGUAGUUUAGUGGUAGAACGCCUCAUUUGCAAUGAGGAGAUCGCGGGUUCGAUUCCCGCCUGGUCCA
This 72-nucleotide transfer RNA is filed under the name bacterium. Its description in RNAcentral is "tRNA-Ala". It matches the Rfam family "tRNA". From Rfam's summary of the family: Transfer RNA (tRNA) molecules are approximately 80 nucleotides in length. Their secondary structure includes four short double-helical elements and three loops (D, anti-codon, and T loops). The record is from RNAcentral.